AAUCUUCCACAAAGGGCGAAAGCCUGAUGGAGCAACGCCGCGUGAGUGAAGAAGGUUUUCGGAUCGUAAAACUCUGUUGUAAGGGAAGAACAAGUACAGUAGUAACUGGCUGUACCUUGACGGUACCUUAUUAGAAAGACACGGCUAACUACGUGCCAGCCGCCGGGGUAAUACGUAGAUGGCAAGCGUUGACCGGAAUUAGGGGGCGUAAAGCGCGCGCAGGCGGUCCUUUAAGUCUGAUGUGAAAGCCCACGGCUCAACCGGGGAGGGUCAUUGGAAACUGGGGGACUUGAGUGCAGAAGAGGAAAGUGGAAUUCCAAGUGUAGCGGUGAAAUGCGUAGAGAUUUGGAGGAACACCAGUGGCGAAGGCGACUUUCUGGUCUGUAACUGACGCUGAGGCGCGAAAGCGUGGGGAGCAAACA
Molecule: ribosomal RNA, 422 nt
Filed under: uncultured bacterium
Lineage: Bacteria
Description: partial 16S ribosomal RNA
Rfam family: Bacterial small subunit ribosomal RNA
Source: RNAcentral